This 253-nucleotide ribosomal RNA is filed under the name uncultured bacterium. Its description in RNAcentral is "partial 16S ribosomal RNA". It matches the Rfam family "Bacterial small subunit ribosomal RNA", at positions 524 to 776 of the family's 1533-position model. The record is from RNAcentral.
GACGUAGGGCGCGAGCGUUGUCCGGAUUUAUUGGGCGUAAAGAGCUCGUAGGCGGCUUGUCGCGUCGUCCGUGAAAACCCACAGCUCAACUGUGGGCUUGCGGUCGAUACGGGCAGGCUAGAGUUCGGUAGGGGAGACUGGAAUUCCUGGUGUAGCGGUGGAAUGCGCAGAUAUCAGGAGGAACACCGGUGGCGAAGGCGGGAUCCUGGGCCAGUACUGACGCUGAGGAGCGAAAGCGUGGGGAGCAAACAGG